Molecule: non-coding RNA, 99 nt
Organism: Ceratotherium simum simum (southern white rhinoceros)
Lineage: Eukaryota; Metazoa; Chordata; Mammalia; Perissodactyla; Rhinocerotidae
Source: RefSeq, a predicted model, not a curated record
AAACGGUGUUGGGAAAACUGGACAGCCACAUGCAAAAAAAUGAAAAUAGACCACUAUCUUACACCAUACAUAAAAAUUAACUCAAAAUGAAUUAAAGAC